UAGUUUAAGUUAUAUUCAUAUUAAAUUAGUUGAAACUUGUUUUUGUACUUAAGUACCCACCUAGCACUUUUAUUUUAACUAAAAGAAUAUAUGAAGUCAUAUUAUUAAACAUUUAUUAUGUAAGUAGGUACCUAUUUUCCCCUUUCUCCUCCAUCAAAGCGUAAACUUGAGGUUAGAGUUUAGGAGCGGCUAUUGUUAGAUAGGUACCUAAGGAUAGGAUUGGUCACUAUCUAUACGAUAUAUCGACAUAUUACCUAUAUUUUAACAUUUAAUUCCUAUACCAUAGUGGGUGUUAGUAAGUAAAUACGAAUUCCCCAUGCACCCACUACUCUAAUGGGAGUAGCCGGUGGGUCGCGGGUCGUCCACCGAUUUUCCUUACUACUUUUCAGAUUUUAAUUUGCCUCCUAAGUGUUGAUUGCAAUAAUCUUACAGCUUAUUAUCUACUGCUUGCUUGCAUAAUAAUUGCAUUAAUUAUUGCAUGUAACAAUGCAAGCUAGCUAUAUUUCUAUAUAAAUAUGUAGGUAUGUAUAUAGGAAUAUAUAUACUAAAUAGAAAUGUAUCCA
This is a long non-coding RNA of Maniola jurtina (meadow brown), 563 nucleotides long. RefSeq lists it as uncharacterized. The record is from RefSeq and is a predicted model, not a curated record. The transcript is spliced from 3 exons. Lineage: Eukaryota; Metazoa; Arthropoda; Insecta; Lepidoptera; Nymphalidae.